UCCCGUGUGGCUCACUUGGUAGAGCAUGGUGUUUGCAACGCCAGGGUUGUGGGUUAGAUUCCAACGGGGGAC
Molecule: transfer RNA, 72 nt
Filed under: Salmo salar (Atlantic salmon)
Lineage: Eukaryota; Metazoa; Chordata; Actinopteri; Salmoniformes; Salmonidae
Rfam family: tRNA
About the family: Transfer RNA (tRNA) molecules are approximately 80 nucleotides in length. Their secondary structure includes four short double-helical elements and three loops (D, anti-codon, and T loops). Further hydrogen bonds mediate the characteristic L-shaped molecular structure. tRNAs have two regions of fundamental functional importance: the anti-codon, which is responsible for specific mRNA codon recognition, and the 3' end, to which the tRNAs corresponding amino acid is attached (by aminoacyl-tRNA synthetases). tRNAs cope with the degeneracy of the genetic code in two manners: having more than one tRNA (with a specific anti-codon) for a particular amino acid; and 'wobble' base-pairing, i.e. permitting non-standard base-pairing at the 3rd anti-codon position.
Source: Rfam by way of RNAcentral